ACAAAACUCAAAGUAUUCAUCAAAACAAACAAAAGCACUUCAAUAUAUGCACAAAACAAAACCAUUUUCUGACUGAGUAAUACUGGAAACUGCAGGCUAUCCUUCUUCCCUUAAAUGAAUUCAUAUUUCUCCAAAAAUCUCACUCCUGAGAUUUGUGACAUAUUUGAAUUGAAAACUCAUAAGUUUCUGUCAUCUUUCACAGUAUUUUUGUUGUAUUUCUGCCAGAUUUUGCUAAGUGGUCGUCUUUACUUCCUACCCCAAACCUAAGCAGCACAGUGUGACUGUGAGCUUUAAAGCAGUUGCAGACUGGAUAGCCAUUUAUAUUCUAUUUAUUGCUCUGUGAAGAUUUAUGAUUUUUCCUCACAAUUUCCCUCCAAAGCCGAACGACCAUUCUGGAGACAAAGGGAGAAACUGAUUUGCCCAGGCUCUCCUGAAUCACCUGAUUUAAAAUCCAGCUCUUCCACGGAGAAACGCUCCUCCUUUUGUCUCAUCUUGCAAAUCAGAAAUGCUUUGGAAGAUUCUCCCAAGCAGGAAACUUCAGGAGUUUUUUUCUGCCUUAUGAAUAUUUCCCAACAAAAAACUCAAGACAAUGGAGUUUCUGGCAAAGAAACUCAGGAACUGAUUCUGCAUAUGUCACCGCAGUGGCAUGCAGACACACAGGGAAGGAGGCAGUCCCAUGCCCGGGCUUGCAGCAGGCAUGUGCCCCCACGGCACCCAGCCCUGAGCACUCCUCACCUCUCCCCUCCUCUCCCUCUUCACCAAAGGUAGCAACCUCCAUGUGAACCCUGCCGCUGCGGCUGCCCUGCCUCCUGAACCCAUCCAGAAGGGCUUUUCAGCGGAUAAAGUACAACAGUGAAAAACCUUGUCUCACAAUGAAGCAAUUGGCUAAAUUAUUGGACAGCAACAUACAGAACAUCACGGCCAGAUCAGAAGAGGGAAUGAGAAGAAGGUCCCCCAGGGCAGCAUUUUGUCCACAAGACCAGGCAGCCUCUUCUAAAUCAACAGCAGACGUCCUACGGUUUGGUAACUACC
Molecule: long non-coding RNA, 1032 nt
Organism: Numida meleagris (helmeted guineafowl)
Lineage: Eukaryota; Metazoa; Chordata; Aves; Galliformes; Numididae
Exons: 3
Source: RefSeq, a predicted model, not a curated record